RNAcentral lists this ribosomal RNA (253 nucleotides) under uncultured bacterium. RNAcentral's name for it is "partial 16S ribosomal RNA". It matches the Rfam family "Bacterial small subunit ribosomal RNA", at positions 524 to 776 of the family's 1533-position model. The record is from RNAcentral.
UACAGAGGGUGCAAGCGUUAAUCGGAAUUCCUGGGCGUAAAGCGCACGCAGGCGGUUGGUUAAGUCAGAUGUGAAAGCCCCGGGCUCAACCUGGGAAUUGCAUUUGAAACUGGCCAACUAGAGUAUGCGAGAGGGGGGUAGAAUUCCAAGUGUAGCGGUGAAAUGCGUAGAGAUUUGGAGGAAUACCAGUGGCGAAGGCGGCCCCCUGGCACAAUACUGACGCUGAGGUGCGAAAGCGUGGGGAGCAAACAGG